GUCUCUGUAGUGCAAUGGAUAGCGCGUUGGACUUCUAAUGCAAAAGUCGUAGAUUCGAAUCCUACCUGGGAUG
RNAcentral lists this transfer RNA (73 nucleotides) under Trichonephila inaurata madagascariensis. It matches the Rfam family "tRNA". From Rfam's summary of the family: Transfer RNA (tRNA) molecules are approximately 80 nucleotides in length. Their secondary structure includes four short double-helical elements and three loops (D, anti-codon, and T loops). The record is from Rfam by way of RNAcentral. Lineage: Eukaryota; Metazoa; Arthropoda; Arachnida; Araneae; Nephilidae.